This 120-nucleotide ribosomal RNA is filed under the name Pogona vitticeps (central bearded dragon). Lineage: Eukaryota; Metazoa; Chordata; Lepidosauria; Squamata; Agamidae. The record is from RNAcentral.
CUUUAAGACCAGAAUACCAUCCUGAAUAUACUGAUCUUGUACAGUUUUGGAAGCUAAGCAGAGUUGGGCCUGCUUAGUACUUGGGUGGGAGACCCUAAGGAAUCUCCAGGUAGAUGAAGU